This is a long non-coding RNA of Triticum aestivum (bread wheat), 681 nucleotides long. RefSeq lists it as uncharacterized. NCBI's taxonomy places the organism in Eukaryota, Viridiplantae, Streptophyta, Magnoliopsida, Poales, Poaceae. The record is from RefSeq and is a predicted model, not a curated record. The transcript is spliced from 2 exons.
CGUUUCACGGCGGAGUGCAGACAUGGCAGUGACAGUCACCCUCCCUCCCUCUCGCUGCGCAGCUCAGUUUCACGGCGGCGUCUAGCUGGAGCAAUUGUGGCGUCGAGCGAACAUCGACAGAGUUUGAAGGGUCUUUUUUCUUUUCAUACGCGAUUGGGCUUCAUUUAUGGGCCGCAACGGUUUUAGGCAUUGCUGUGCAGCUUGCCACGUUCCAGCUGCGUGCCAUCGGAUGAGGCAUCGACGGGCGCUAGACAUCGACGUCCCUCUGCAGUAGUUGCUGCUACGUUAGAGGAUCUCGUUCCUCCAACGAAGGGAACGCCGGCGGGGAAGGAGCAGGACAGAUCCGGCACAGACUGCUAAUAGGAACUCCAAAAGGAGAUGGAGCUUAAUCCCAAUCGCAAGAGUGAUCUACAACAUACGUCGACAAGAGAGAUGGCUCAGUGAUUAACCCAUCUGGCUGGUUAACCGCAUCCGUACAUGAAGAUGCAAUCUGUUCUUUGUGUUCUUGAGCAGCUUUGGGAGGAGGAGGAAUUAGCAAGGAUGAGCGGCAGUGGCAAUAUGCUUGCGUGAGUGAGAUGCCAUGUGGUUUCGUAAGUGAGCACUAGGCAUGUCUGAUGUAAAAAGGGUGUUGAUUAAAGAGACCAUAGUGCUUUAACAUAAUCUUGGCACAAAUUACCUAUC